Molecule: ribosomal RNA, 477 nt
Filed under: uncultured bacterium
Lineage: Bacteria
Description: bacterial SSU rRNA
Rfam family: Bacterial small subunit ribosomal RNA
Source: RNAcentral
GACGAACGCUGGCGGCGUGCUUAACACAUGCAAGUCGAGCGGUAAGGCCCUUUCGGGGGUACACGAGCGGCGAACGGGUGAGUAACACGUGGGUGACCUGCCCUCAGCUCUGGGAUAAGCCUGGGAAACCGGGUCUAAUACUGGAUAUGACUCCAUGACGCAUGUUGUGGGGUGGAAAGCCUUGUGCGGCUGAGGAUGGGCCCGCGGCCUAUCAGCUUGUUGGUGGGGUGAUGGCCUACCAAGGCGACGACGGGUAGCCGGCCUGAGAGGAUGAUCAGCCACACUGGGACUGAGACACGGCCCAGACUCCUACGGGAGGCAGCAGUGGGGAGUAUUGGACAAUGGGGGCAACCCUGAUCCAGCAAUGCCGCGUGAGUGAUGAAGGCCUUAGGGUUGUAAAGCUCUUUCGGCGGGGAAGAUGAUGACGGUACCCGCAGAAGAAGCCCCGGCUAACUUCGUGCCAGCAGCCGCAGUAAG